Molecule: ribosomal RNA, 776 nt
Filed under: uncultured Neocallimastigales
Lineage: Eukaryota; Fungi; Neocallimastigomycota; Neocallimastigomycetes; Neocallimastigales
Description: partial large subunit ribosomal RNA
Rfam family: Eukaryotic large subunit ribosomal RNA
Source: RNAcentral
AGAGAUGUGUGAUGACGCAUAUCAAUAAGCGGAGGAAAAGAAACUAACAAGGAUUCCCUUAGUAACGGCGAGUGAAGCGGGAAGAGCUCAAAUUUGAAAUCUUCAAGGUUCUACCUUGACGAAUUGUAGUUUAUAGAAGUGUUUUCUGUUAGUGGAGUGGCAAAAGUUCUUUGGAAUAGGACAUCAUAGAGGGUGAGAAUCCCGUACUUUGGUCAUUCCUCCUAGCGUUGUGAUACACUUUCAACGAGUCGGAUUGUUUGGGAAUGCAGUCCAAAAUGGGUGGUAAAUUUCAUCUAAAGCUAAAUAUUGGCGAGAGACCGAUAGCGAACAAGUACCGUGAGGGAAAGAUGAAAAGAACUUUGAAAAGAGAGUUAAACAGUACGUGAAAUUGUCAAAAGGGAAGCGUUUGACACCAGUGUUGUUUUUCCGAAAAUCAAUUACGAAUGUUUUGUUUUUGAGAAGUUAUGACUUCAUCGGCUUGCUUCUUUCUUUACUGAAACUUUCUUAAUGCACUUUUCGGUUAACAAGUCAACAUCAAUUUCUUUUGUUGUAAAAGGGUACGAGGAAGGUGGCUUUCUUUUCGGAGAAAGUGUUUAUAGCCUUGUACCUCUGCAAUCGGAGAGAUUGAGGUCUGCAGCGUAGAUCCUUCGGGGUUAGAUACAUUUGUGCUAAGCUAUAGCUUUUUAUAGACAACUUGUUGACUAUAUUUAGUCUUGUGGCUUACUCGCUUAUGCUAUUUUACCUACGCUUAGGAUGUUGAACUCUAUCACACACAG